This 567-nucleotide ribosomal RNA is filed under the name Triticum aestivum (bread wheat). Its description in RNAcentral is "partial small subunit ribosomal RNA". The record is from RNAcentral. Lineage: Eukaryota; Viridiplantae; Streptophyta; Magnoliopsida; Poales; Poaceae.
AUGGCUGUCAUAGAUGUCGAUGAAUUCAUCUUCUCAACAAGCUGGGCAGGAUUAGAGAAGCCAUCAAAAUCUUUGCUAGAGCCCGUCAUUUCUGUUGAUGAUAGCGUUGGCCAAAUAUACCUUGUUUGUUAUGAUUUUGCCCCCUCGGGCCAAACAGCACAUCCACCAGAGGGGGUCUGCCAGGGCUACACUUGCCAGUUGAAGAGCCCGCAGCGGCACAAAUCCUUGGUCCGUCUCGACGCCGUGGAACCAUCCCUCAUGAAUGUGGUCCAUCAUUUUAAGCUCAAGCCUGCUUUCAAAAGCAUCUGGACCGCGUUGGCACGUGUGAACCACUACAAAUACCAAGCUUGGUCGGAGUUCAAAGUCAAGUUCAAGAGGCGCGUGUCCGCUUAUGUGGCUGAUUGGAAAGAUCCGAUCAACCUCGACUCAAAGGAUCGGGCUCCUGGCUUAGGAGUUGAUGACACCGAACCAGAAGGCUGGGCCCAAAGAUACUGCAAGGUUAAAGACAAUAUCCUUCAGCUAUUAACUGCAAGAUGGUUCGGUGUCGGAUUUGGGAACCCUCAUUAG